AUUGAACGCUGGCGGCAGGCCUGACACAUGCAAGUCGGACGGUAGCACAGAGGAGCUUGCUCCUCGGGUGACGAGUGGCGGACGGGUGAGUAAUGUCUGGGGAUCUGCCCGAUAGAGGGGGAUAACCACUGGAAACGGUGGCUAAUACCGCAUAACGUCGCAAGACCAAAGAGGGGGACCUUCGGGCCUCUCACUAUCGGAUGAACCCAGAUGGGAUUAACUAGUAGGCGGGGUAACGGCCCACCUAGGCGACGAUCCCUAGCUGGUCUGAGAGGAUGACCAGCCACGCGGGAACUGAGACACGGUCCAGACUCCUACGGGAGGCAGCAGUGGGGAAUAUUGCACAAUGGGCGCAAGCCUGAUGCAGCCAUGCCGCGUGUAUGAAGAAGGCCUCCGGGUUGUAAAGUACUUUCAGCGGGGAGGAAGGCGAUGUGGUUAAUAACCGCAUUGAUUGUCGUUACCCGCAGAAGAAGCACCGGCUAACUCCGUGCCAGCCGCCGCGGUAA
RNAcentral lists this ribosomal RNA (506 nucleotides) under uncultured bacterium. RNAcentral's name for it is "partial 16S ribosomal RNA". It matches the Rfam family "Bacterial small subunit ribosomal RNA", at positions 29 to 523 of the family's 1533-position model. The record is from RNAcentral.